UACGUAGGCAGCAAGCGUUGUUCGGAAUUACUGGGCGUAAAGAGCGCGCAGGCGGUUGUUUAAGUCGAAUGUGAAAGCCCCCGGCUCAACUGGGGAGGGUCAUUCGAUACUGAUCGACUUGAAGGCAGGAGAGGGAAGUGGAAUUCCGGGUGUAGUGGUGAAAUGCGUAGAUAUCCGGAGGAACACCAGUGGCGAAGGCGGCUGCCUGGACCGGUUCUGACGCUGAUGCGCGAAAGCGUGGGUAGCAAACAGG
RNAcentral lists this ribosomal RNA (253 nucleotides) under uncultured bacterium. RNAcentral's name for it is "partial 16S ribosomal RNA". It matches the Rfam family "Bacterial small subunit ribosomal RNA", at positions 524 to 776 of the family's 1533-position model. The record is from RNAcentral.